UCUUUUCAAAUUACAUAAAAA
RNAcentral lists this non-coding RNA (21 nucleotides) under Caenorhabditis elegans. Lineage: Eukaryota; Metazoa; Nematoda; Chromadorea; Rhabditida; Rhabditidae. The record is from RNAcentral.